RNAcentral lists this transfer RNA (69 nucleotides) under Cyclopsetta fimbriata (spotfin flounder). Its description in RNAcentral is "tRNA-Glu". It matches the Rfam family "tRNA". From Rfam's summary of the family: Transfer RNA (tRNA) molecules are approximately 80 nucleotides in length. Their secondary structure includes four short double-helical elements and three loops (D, anti-codon, and T loops). Lineage: Eukaryota; Metazoa; Chordata; Actinopteri; Pleuronectiformes; Cyclopsettidae. The record is from RNAcentral.
GUUCUUGUAGUGGAAAAACAACAGUGAUUCUUCAAGUCAUUAGUCCAGGUUAAAGUCCUGGCAAGAACU